GAACAGCUGAAGGAAGAGAAAAAAAACAGAUCGCACAGCCCAACCCCUGGCGAUUCCUCUCCCUCUCCCUCGUCUGGGCCUCCCCCACAUCCGGCGCCGCCACCAGCGCCCUUCCCCUCAGCCGCCGCCCCCGCCCCUUCUCUCCUCCCAUCAUCUUCUCCCCUCCAUCGGAAACCUUCUCCCCUCCCCCUCUCCCCAAAUCGAGCAACAGGUCCGGAUCCACGGCCACGACGGUGCGAGCACCAUGAUGCAGGCCGAGGCCGCGUGACGAGGGAGCUCGUUCUGGCUCUGACCCUUGUGCCGACGCCAUGGACAAGGAGAACAUCUCUGUUCAUGAGGCAGCCCCAACCCUAGCCUUUCCUUGCCAUGGCGACCGAGUAGGCAGGAGUUGCUCUGAUCCAUCUACUGAAGGAGGAUGUGCACCAUCCGAGGUGCUCAACAUCACCACCGCCAUUUGUUGCCUGCCAAGGAUGUAUCUACUGUGAUGCCACAUCUGUUAUUGUUGUGAAUAGAAGCUUCAAUGGAUGGACAAGAUGGUAGCAUCAUGCUUGUGUGUUCCUCUGUGCUGAACCGGCAAUACUUUCCAAAGCUUACAUCUCUCCUGGAUGAUUGUCAUGUUUGGCAGUUUGAAGGGUGAAUUAGCUUGGGGAACAACCAAUAUGAAGCUACAGACUUCAAGCGGACCAUGACUUUCUCAUUGUUGCAAGUUGGUGCCCUCGACAAGUAGUGGAAUCAUAAUUUUUGUAGCCAUAUCCAUUGUUUGAGUUGCUCUAAUGUUUGCACCGGCAACACAUUGCCAGGAAUCACUUCUUUGUGUUUGUUGUCGCAGACCGGCCAAUUCAGGUUACACAUGGUUUUGGUACCUCAUUAGCAGCUGCUGUCCCAUUUUUCUAUGUUCAGUAAAGAGCUCUGGACAUCUAUUAAACCAAGUGAAUGAAAUUAGUUGUUCACCAUGGCGCUCCACCGCUGUACGCACUAAGACGAAGAAUGGACAUCUUAGAAAAAUAUAAAAGGGUUGCUCCACGCAAGGUUCCAUUCCCAGAGCACAUUUUGAUAAGUUUAUGGGACAUAAUUAUUUACCUGGAAUUUAUUGAGAUCAAGGCAGCGAAAUAUUCCUUUCAUGUUGUGGACCAUCGUUUCGUGGCUUGGCAGGACAAAAAAUACAGAGAUUCAUCCCGUGAGUGGAAGGAAAUAGCUACAACGUCUUUUUGGAGUGAAACUGCUGAAGCUUUUGAUGCAGACAAACUCGAUACAGAUUAGUUGCAGGGUCUUGUGGUUGCUCUGUUAUAGGCUGCACAUAUAGAAACAAGAUUGUAAUGUUAUCUCCCUUUAAUUGUCUUUUUCUGGACAAGCUUUUCUGUCAUGGUGAUACAUCUCUUAUACUAACAGUCAUGGAGGGAUCUGAUCUGGUCAAGAUCUCCGAGCGCUCUGCAGAUCAUGUACCCGACCUGCUUGGAUUCGGCAGUACAGUCUUAUAAGAACAAGUAGUUAGUUAUAAUAAGAAAGGGGAAAGAGCCAUUAGAAAAACAUGGAACCGAGUCAGACUUAUUUGUUUAGGAACAUGACGUUCAGCCUAAAAUGGUGUUGGUGCUUCGUGAAAAGUUUCGCCAACACCAUUUUGACAAAUAGAAAAGUUGAGUACAGUAGCCGUUGGACCGAAAAUAAUAUAGCGAGCCACAAUAAAACAAAUAACAUAUUGGAUAUCACACUGUCUUAUGACUGAAUAGCAGAAAAAUAUGUUGGCAAAUUUUUAAAAGCAUGGUUAUUAUUGGUUUGAUAACCAAGCAGGGAAAUAGUUCCAAAAAAUAGACCAGCUUAAAUAAGAGUGCAUUUUUUUAUUAUUUCAUGAAGCAGAGAGUAUUUUAAUAAGCUGUAAGGUACUAAUUGUUUUCCUAUGUAGCUAAGUAUGAAGAUGGGGCCUCAAAAUUUUAGUACUACUUUCUUCUGCUUUGAAUUAUUAUUUUGAUUUUCAAUAAAUUAUUGCUUUCCGGUACUUUAUAUUUCUUAUUGUAUUUAGUUCGUGUCGAUUUGGGUAAUCAUGCAUCAUACAUUUCAAAUAUUUAAUUGCAGUCAUUCAGCUCAUCGACACUCGCGAAGAAAAUGGCCUCUUCUUCCAGUACCCGAAGCAGCCACAUAGCCAUAUGCCUCAUCCUAAUUCUCCUGGUCGUUAGCAUGCGAGAAGCCUCCGCCGUCAAGCCUGCCGGCCAGCGAUGUGAAGGACCAGAUGGUUGUCAAAUUUAGUGGGAGUUAAAUCUCCAACAGUUAGUUAUAGUGAAAUUGCAAACGAUUAUGUGGCUUCAAAGGAUCCUCAAUCCUGGCACGCAAGGUGAAAGCAGUAAAGUUGAUGCUGAUCUAGAAAGUUUUUUCUGAUAUUGAUGAUGUGGAGGUUCAUGGGUAUCUCCACAAUGAGGAAAAGACACAGUAGAAAAAGAUAAUUUGGGACGAAAUGAACAAAGAAUACCUAGAGGUAGGUAUUGUAACUCUAGCAAGAUGAGGUGGUUCUUAUUCUCACAAUAGGGUGUAAGUGUUACUGUCUGCUGCUUUAUUUGACAUGAAAAAUCCGCUGAAGUCAGCAUCGCGUGCCUGAAAAUCUACACGUAGUCAAGUACACUGACUGAAAGUGUACAAGUAGUCAAGUAGUCUGACGAGAGGGGAUUUUGAAAGAUGUUUGCUUGUUGUAGUUGUACGCUCUAAUGCGAUUAAGCUUUUUCAUAAUAUAAUCGUUGAACAGCGGUUCGAAAUAGUAAAAAUAUGUUUACCAGGCAUUGCUUACAUGCAGAUUUGCUAUACAAAUGGCAAACAACAACGAGAAAAGGGCAGUGUACCAACCUGGCACCGCCCAGCCACCACUCAGGCGGCGCGCCAAUGGUGCGCCCCAACCUCUAGUAAUUUAUAAACUGCGACGCUUUUGGCCGAUCGGUCGGCUCAGGUUAAAACAUCCGCCGCAACGACGCGUUAGCUUGUCGACGAACUCAUCAAAGCUCCGCUGCGAUGACCCGCCGUGCACCGUGGCGGUCUCGAGCGUCGCCCUCACCUUUUUUUUUAAUUAAAGGUAGAUUAUGUUCUACCUUAUAUAUUUCAAAACAGACAAAAAACCCGGCGGACAAAAGUCAAUUACAUGAAAGGUAAUGCAGAAACUGCACAGAGUGUGCAGGCGGCCACUACCAAACCGGGGAGUGGUGAAGAGAAAACAGUGAAGGAACUAGUGCUUUUACAUCUGGCAAACUAUGCGAGAGCAAUAGCCCACUGGCGCAACAACUGCUUAAUUUCAUGCUUCCUAGAUCGAUGGCACCAGAGCAGUAGUAACUGAGACGCUGUAUGAGCAGUAAACCUGUCCGGCCAAAUCUUUUUGUCGAAAAUUCGUGCGUUUCUGGCGCUCCAUAGAGUCACCGCAGCAGCAGCGAAAAUAAUUGGCCAGAGCCUUCCAAACCUGGUAGGGGUGCGCCCAUCUAACAUAUAAAGCCUCCUAGAAUCUAACAUACAACGAAGGCCUCGAGCGCACGGUACCACGCGAGCCGCGCCGCGCGUGGGGAUGCAGCACACCACGCGAAGGAAAAAAACACCGCACCGCAUCGAACCCUAGCCCCAAUCCACAGCCCCGCGCCCCUCGCUCCUCCCUCCUUCGUCCGCUGCCACUCCCUCCCACCUCCUCCUCCUACGCCCUAGGAGCCCCGCCGCCGACUGCUACUCCUCCACCGCCUCGCCUCUUCCUCCUCCUGGCCUUCCCAUCGCUCGGGCGCAGGCUUCCGUGGCCAAGCGCUUCGAGGGCGAACCCGUCUCCACCGCCAGCUCUGGGUUCGCGCGGGACGGGCUCCCCCGCCUGGCCGGCCUCGACGAGCAUGGCCUCGAUCCGGCCUCAGCCUGAGGACCUCGAGCCGAGGAGUGCGGCCUCGAUCGGGACUCGGCAUCUGGGGCGACGGCAGAGGAGGAGGGGAAAGGAGGGGAGCAGCAACCAACAUCUGGGGCGGCGGUGGAUGGACUCCAUGAGCUGGCCGGCGACGGCGGCGGUGCUGGAUUCGAUCUGCAGGAGAGAGAGGGAGGCGAGGAUUGGUGAAGAACUCCGUUGCCGCUGCGUGCCGUGCUUCUGGAUCGAGCGCUGCCUGACCAAGGGAUAAGAGUAUGAGGUAAAACUAGCCACCAUGCUCCUGUGCGGGCUGCAUCUCCACAUCUCCCGUUUCAUUAUUUCACCAUUGCUGCCUCUUCUCCUCUUCGUUGCUCUGCUUCUUCUCCUGAUUUCUCUUUUUCAUUUUUUCUCUUUGUGGCGCCGCCGGGGAUGAGAGGAGCAGCUGCUGAAGCAGGCGCGGUGCUGGUGCACUGCUGGCGAAGCGGUCGUCGACGUCGUCCUUGGCAGAAGUUCUCUAUGCAACAUCUAUUGCAGAAUUUCAUUCUCAGCUUCAUCGGCGUCAGCUUCAUCACCAAGAGGACGGACUCCGGAAGGCAGCCUCCUCCUAAGGCGCCAGGACCGGUAACUCCCGAAACGUCCAUCCUUCCUAACAUUAUUUUCUGGUGAUGCACCGUUAGGUUGCUGACCAUACGAUUGGUAGCCUUGGACAGAAGAGGGCCAGCAACAAACAGAAGCAACCAUUGUCCUGUCCAGAACAUGGAUCAGCUUUGGUGGCAUCCGAUGCUGCCAGACCACUGGGUUAGAGCAGAGGAAGCUGACAUGGUGUUCGACAUUCAGAUGGUCAUUGUGAUCGACCAGAUGCGGCGCCUCAUGUCACCCCGAGCCUCCAGGGCUUGUUAGCGGUGCUCAUAAAAGGUCUCAAGAAAGAUAAAAGAACUUGUGGUUCAAGCAGCAAGAAGAUAGCCAGCCUAAAUGAAUCAAAACAAGAACAAGCGUCGGGAAUUUACAAAUGAGGAAGUGCAGCUGGUGAUGUAAUUACUUUCAAUAGCGCUUCAGCUCUGCAAUCGACAGUUUGACCUCAUGCUAGGGCAGCCUCAGCCAGUUGCCUCUUCUAUCAA
Molecule: non-coding RNA, 4962 nt
Organism: Triticum urartu
Lineage: Eukaryota; Viridiplantae; Streptophyta; Magnoliopsida; Poales; Poaceae
Source: RefSeq, a predicted model, not a curated record